UAGGGAAUCUUCCGCAAUGGGCGAAAGCUUGACGGAGCAACGCCGCGUGAGUGAUGAAGGUCUUCGGAUCGUAAAACUCUGUUAUUAGGGAAGAACAAAUGUGUAAGUAACUAUGCACGUCUUGACGGUACCUAAUCAGAAAGCCACGGCUAACUACGUGCCAGCAGCCGCGGUAAUACGUAGGUGGCAAGCGUUAUCCGGAAUUAUUGGGCGUAAAGCGCGCGUAGGCGGUUUUUUAAGUCUGAUGUGAAAGCCCACGGCUCAACCGUGGAGGGUCAUUGGAAACUGGAAAACUUGAGUGCAGAAGAGGAAAGUGGAAUUCCAUGUGUAGCGGUGAAAUGCGCAGAGAUAUGGAGGAACACCAGUGGCGAAAGCGGCUCUCUGGUCUGUAACUGACGCUGAGGCUCGAAAGCGUGGGGAGCGAACAGG
Molecule: ribosomal RNA, 429 nt
Filed under: Bacteroidota bacterium
Lineage: Bacteria; Pseudomonadati; Bacteroidota
Description: Bacteroidetes bacterium partial 16S ribosomal RNA
Rfam family: Bacterial small subunit ribosomal RNA
Source: RNAcentral